GGAGAAAUGCCGGAGUGGUCGAACGGGGCAGACUCGAAAUCUGUUGUACCGCCUAGCGGUACCGGGGGUUCGAAUCCCUCUUUCUCCGCAA
Molecule: transfer RNA, 91 nt
Filed under: Bacteroidota bacterium
Lineage: Bacteria; Pseudomonadati; Bacteroidota
Description: Bacteroidetes bacterium (marine metagenome) tRNA-Ser
Rfam family: tRNA
About the family: Transfer RNA (tRNA) molecules are approximately 80 nucleotides in length. Their secondary structure includes four short double-helical elements and three loops (D, anti-codon, and T loops). Further hydrogen bonds mediate the characteristic L-shaped molecular structure. tRNAs have two regions of fundamental functional importance: the anti-codon, which is responsible for specific mRNA codon recognition, and the 3' end, to which the tRNAs corresponding amino acid is attached (by aminoacyl-tRNA synthetases). tRNAs cope with the degeneracy of the genetic code in two manners: having more than one tRNA (with a specific anti-codon) for a particular amino acid; and 'wobble' base-pairing, i.e. permitting non-standard base-pairing at the 3rd anti-codon position.
Source: RNAcentral